RNAcentral lists this ribosomal RNA (1431 nucleotides) under Staphylococcus sp. DWK5. Its description in RNAcentral is "16S ribosomal RNA". It matches the Rfam family "Bacterial small subunit ribosomal RNA". The record is from RNAcentral. Lineage: Bacteria; Bacillati; Bacillota; Bacilli; Caryophanales; Staphylococcaceae.
GGCGGCGUGCCUAAUACAUGCAAGUCGAGCGAACAGAUAAGGAGCUUGCUCCUUUGACGUUAGCGGCGGACGGGUGAGUAACACGUGGGUAACCUACCUAUAAGACUGGGAUAACUUCGGGAAACCGGAGCUAAUACCGGAUAACAUUUGGAACCGCAUGGUUCUAAAGUGAAAGAUGGUUUUGCUAUCACUUAUAGAUGGACCCGCGCCGUAUUAGCUAGUUGGUAAGGUAACGGCUUACCAAGGCGACGAUACGUAGCCGACCUGAGAGGGUGAUCGGCCACACUGGAACUGAGACACGGUCCAGACUCCUACGGGAGGCAGCAGUAGGGAAUCUUCCGCAAUGGGCGAAAGCCUGACGGAGCAACGCCGCGUGAGUGAUGAAGGGUUUCGGCUCGUAAAACUCUGUUAUUAGGGAAGAACAAACGUGUAAGUAACUGUGCACGUCUUGACGGUACCUAAUCAGAAAGCCACGGCUAACUACGUGCCAGCAGCCGCGGUAAUACGUAGGUGGCAAGCGUUAUCCGGAAUUAUUGGGCGUAAAGCGCGCGUAGGCGGUUUCUUAAGUCUGAUGUGAAAGCCCACGGCUCAACCGUGGAGGGUCAUUGGAAACUGGGAAACUUGAGUGCAGAAGAGGAAAGUGGAAUUCCAUGUGUAGCGGUGAAAUGCGCAGAGAUAUGGAGGAACACCAGUGGCGAAGGCGACUUUCUGGUCUGUAACUGACGCUGAUGUGCGAAAGCGUGGGGAUCAAACAGGAUUAGAUACCCUGGUAGUCCACGCCGUAAACGAUGAGUGCUAAGUGUUAGGGGGUUUCCGCCCCUUAGUGCUGCAGCUAACGCAUUAAGCACUCCGCCUGGGGAGUACGACCGCAAGGUUGAAACUCAAAGGAAUUGACGGGGACCCGCACCCGCGGUGGAGCAUGUGGUUUAAUUCGAAGCAACGCGAAGAACCUUACCAAAUCUUGACAUCCUUUGAAAACUCUAGAGAUAGAGCCUUCCCCUUCGGGGGACAAAGUGACAGGUGGUGCAUGGUUGUCGUCAGCUCGUGUCGUGAGAUGUUGGGUUAAGUCCCGCAACGAGCGCAACCCUUAAGCUUAGUUGCCAUCAUUAAGUUGGGCACUCUAGGUUGACUGCCGGUGACAAACCGGAGGAAGGUGGGGAUGACGUCAAAUCAUCAUGCCCCUUAUGAUUUGGGCUACACACGUGCUACAAUGGACAAUACAAAGGGCAGCUAAACCGCGAGGUCAUGCAAAUCCCAUAAAGUUGUUCUCAGUUCGGAUUGUAUUCUGCAACUCGACUACAUGAAGCUGGAAUCGCUAGUAAUCGUAGAUCAGCAUGCUACGGUGAAUACGUUCCCGGGUCUUGUACACACCGCCCGUCACACCACGAGAGUUUGUAACACCCGAAGCCGGUGGAGUAACCAUUUAUGGAG